RNAcentral lists this ribosomal RNA (804 nucleotides) under Enterobacter sp. Its description in RNAcentral is "bacterial SSU rRNA". It matches the Rfam family "Bacterial small subunit ribosomal RNA", at positions 674 to 1492 of the family's 1533-position model. Lineage: Bacteria; Pseudomonadati; Pseudomonadota; Gammaproteobacteria; Enterobacterales; Enterobacteriaceae. The record is from RNAcentral.
UGUAGCGGUGAAAUGAGUAGAGAUCUGGAGGAAUACCGGUGGCGAAGGCGGCCCCCUGGACAAAGACUGACGCUCAGGUGCGAAAGCGUGGGGAGCAAACAGGAUUAGAUACCCUGGUAGUCCACGCCGUAAACGAUGUCGAUUUUGAGGUUGUGCCCUUGAGGCGUGGCUUCCGGAGCUAACGCGUUAAAUCGACCGCCUGGGGAGUACGGCCGCAAGGUUAAAACUCAAAUGAAUUGACGGGGGCCCGCACAAGCGGUGGAGCAUGUGGUUUAAUUCGAUGCUACGCGAAGAACCUUACCUGCUCUUGACAUCCACAGAACUUUCCAGAGAUGGUUUGGUGCCUUCGGGAACUGUGAGACAGGAGUUGCAUGGGUGUCGUCAGCUCGUGUUGUGAAAUGUUGGGUUAAGUCCCGCAACGAGCGCAACCCUUAUCCUUUGUUGCCAGCGGUCCGGCCGGGAACUCAAAAGAGACUGCCAGUGAUAAACUGGAGGAAGGUGGGGAUGACGUCAAGUCAUCAUGGCCCUUACGAGCAGGGAUACACACGUGCUACAAUGGCGCAUACAAAGAGAAGCGACCUCGCGAGAGCAAGCGGACCUCAUAAAGUGUGUCGUAGUCCGGAUUGGAGUCUGCAACUCGACUCCAUGAAGUCGGAAUCGCUAGUAAUCGUCGAUCAGAAUGCCACGGUGAAUACGUUCCCGGGCCUUGUACACACCGCCCGUCACACCAUGGGAGUGGGUUGCAAAAGAAGUAGGUAGCUUAACCUUCGGGAGGGUGAUUCAUGACUGGGGUGAAGUCGUAAC